This 268-nucleotide unclassified non-coding RNA is filed under the name Hevea brasiliensis (rubber tree). Lineage: Eukaryota; Viridiplantae; Streptophyta; Magnoliopsida; Malpighiales; Euphorbiaceae. The record is from RNAcentral.
GCUUGAAAUUGGCGAACUGUGCCUAUUGUUGAUAUUUUGGUCAUUAUGAUAUUUAUAUUAUUGGACAUUCAAGUGGCAAGGAUCUGGUAAUCUGCCACUAUGGCAGUGCUUGAAAAAUUUUGGGUUUGGUGUUUGAAAUCAUAGAAUGGAUUGAGAAUUUAGAGUUUGGAAAAAGUCAAAUGAUUUAAAAAGCUUUUACCAUGGUGUUAAAAUGUUUGAAAAGUUUGUUAGGUGAAGUUAUUAGUGAUAAUCAACCUGAUCAUUGCAG